GUUGGUCUGUACAGACGACGCACCGACACGUAGACAAAGUAAGCCUGGGGAAGAGGGUGUGACAAUGAAGUGAUAACAGUAUGGUGUGGUACCGUGAUACAAGGUGUUACACACAUUUUACCGAGAACAUAUUCUAACACCUACCAACAUACGAACACCGGACGUAGCCGACAACAAUAUAUGGAUAGAUUAGCAUUCAUUAAGGAUGUCGACUAUGGUUAAAGGGAUACAGUAUAGUCUACUGGCUCUUAUGUUCUUCUCCGUCAUACUGGUACUGUGGAACAUCGAGUAUGUAACCUUCCAAACAACAAACUACAGCCGCCUUAACUAUCACUGGACGACGACCAGCGACAUACUCUCGUCAAGUAAAGGAAAUGCAUCCUCUGUUGAUCUGGAUAUAUUAUACAUCCCGAAAAUAAGAAUUCAAUUUACAUCAAAGAAUAUAAACGGAUCAGCGACUGCAGACAAUGUAAAACUCAUUAAAGGGAACACCAAGACGAACCUAAAUAUAAUUAAGGGGCCCCACCCGCCACCAUCGCAUGUUAAUAAUACAUUAUUGAAAUUAAACAAUUCCCAUUCUCCUGCUAAAGAAUCAUUAGUAACAACAGAAACUCCACAAACGCGUGUUGACGAUUUGCCAGUGACAACAGAAACUCCACAAAAGCGUGUUAACGAUUUGUCAGUGACAACAGAAACUCCACAAACGCGUGUUGACGAUUUGUCAGUGACAACAGAAACUCCACAAAAGCGUGUUGACGUUUUGCCAGUGACAACAGAAACUCCACAAACGCGUGUUGACGAUUUGAUAGUGACAACAGAAACUCAACAAACGCGUGUUGACGAUUUGUCAGUGAAAACAGAAACUCCACAAACGCGUGUUGACGAUUUGAUAGUGACAACAGACAAUCAACCAAAGCGUGUUAAUGAUUUGUCAAAGACAACAAGCAAGCCAACAUCUCGUGUAAACAGAACAAUGGUGAAAGUGGACAAGCCAACAUCUCGUGCGAAUGAUUCGUCGGUGAAACUAGACAAACCUCGUGUGAAUAAUACAUCAAAGGUCAAUGUUGAAGAUAGUCCAAAGGACCAGUGGACAAAAUUCCGAUACCCGCUCGAUGUUGAUAUGGUUGAGCUCGUAAGAAAACUAAAAUCAAACAUACCUGUAGCUCAUAAACCUAUAUUUCCGUACAGCUAUAACUUUACUCACCAUCGAAUAGCCAAAUGUAUGUCUGGUACACCGUUUUUUAUCUUUCUUAUCAAAUCCGCUGUUGCGAAUGAUGAAAAUAGGGCGGCGAUCAGAGAGACAUGGGCACAUUCUAAACUUCAAAAGAAAUAUAACUUCAUUCGGAUAUUUUUGGUUGGCAGUUCUGAUAAAAAGUCGGUCAUGUCAGCAAUUAAAACGGAGAGUAGUAAAUACAACGAUAUCGUCCGAAUGUCAUUUCUUGAUAAUUACUAUAACAACACAUUAAAGACGACAGGAGCGAUUCACUGGACCGUACAGCACUGUAACCGCGCCAAGUUUGUAGUUUUUGUCGAUGACGAUAUGCUGGUAUCUAUCAAAUCAUUGUAUUCUUUUAUACACACCAAAGUGACAGGACCGACCUAUUUUGGAGGCCACAUAGAUGUACAGUACCCUCAGCGACAAAAGGGAGAUAAGUGGUACGUGUCUAAUCAGGAUUAUCCCUAUGCUAUUUAUCCCCCGAUGCCGUCUGGAGGAUUUUUAAUCAUGACCAUGAACUUCGUUAUCGACCUGCACUUUGCUACCCAAUACACAAGGAGGUUUAUCUACGACGACGUGUACCUUGCAAUAUUAGCCUACAAGCUCCGUGUUAGACCCGUUAACAUACCGAAAGUCUACGUGACACCAAUAAGGCUUGAUAACGGACUCCUCCAAAACAGUCUGGCAGUGCAUGGGUUCGACCCGUCAGCUCUCAGACUAACGUGGAAGCUGUUCAAACGUUCCUUUGUCCACAGAAGCAAUAUGGCUUAACCACGUCAGCGUCUGACACUUUUCGGGAGUUCCUGUGGGUAGCUUAUUGGACUCUUUUCUGAUGUUCCUGUGGGUAGCUUAUUGGACUCUUUUCGGGUGUUCCUGUGGGUAGCUUAUUGGACUCUUUUCGGGUGUUCCUGUAGGUAGCUUAUUGGACUCUUUUCGGGUGUUCCUGUGGGAAGCUUAAUUGAUUCUUUUCGGGUGCUCCUGUGGGUAGCUUAUUGAUAUAACUCAACACCUUAUCAAUCUGCAGAUCCGUGUCAGUUAGCGAGGCUUGUCCUGCCAAAUAUUCGUAUGUAAGGCCAAUAUCUGAUAACCGAGCUCAGGGCAUGCCGUUCAAUACCUUGUGAUUCGAAAUCUUCGCUUCAGAAACUAUUGGCGACAUUAUAUAAUAUAUUGUGUUAUUAAUAAUUUAUGUACGUGUUGAUCUUUCGUAGUACCAUUAAACAACUGGUAAUUGCUUUAUAAACUGCAUAGAAAACAUAGUGGAGGGAGUCUGUGUUUUUGAUUCAUUGUCGUCGCAUUGUGGUGUCAUUAAUGACACCGAACGGCUAAUGCUACCUGGCCGCAGGCGUCAGUUUCAAAUUCAAAGGAUUUGUCUGCUGAAUAACUGAAUUACUUGGUAAUGAAGAGGACGUAAUACUUUUAAAAACAAACAAACAAGCGAACGAUUCAAAGGAGCUACAUCUCUGAAUACCCUCCUAGAAACAAGGGCGGUCACCGAGCAGAAUUCCGUCAUGAUGUAAUGGUCUCCUCCAAAUCGAUGGGUUCGGAGGUGUGAUUGCGGCAUACAUUUAUCUCAACCGUGUCAUGUUUACCGCCAUAUGAUAGGCUAGUAUCCUUGGUGAUCACUUCCAUAUGCCAAAGAUGCAAGCGGUAAAUGGCUAAGUCUGACCAACAGCAUGGCCGGGGAACACCGAUCUCUACUGUGAAGAGCAUAAACGGAGGAGUAAAAAGAAUUUACUUCCAGAGGAAAAGAAGUUUAACCCUCAACAAAGAGGAUUUCUUCAAAGACUUGUGGACUCAUCCACCAGAAUGUCCUAUGAUUGCACCGAGGUAUCACCUUCCAAGGAUGGGAACUCUUCAACACACCUUACGCUAUGGCACCUCCUGAAGAAGGGAUACCGCACUCCCACACCACGCCUGUGACUUUGGCCUGUGGGCAUGGACAGUGCUUCCUCCGUCCCGUCCCGGUGACGCAAUAUCAAAAGUCGUCCAGUAUCACCUUUAGAGAGGUUUUAAUGUCUUAAAGUCUUGGCACAAUCACGCAUUGUUUUCAUUCUUCUCCUUCACCAUAAUUAAGUUCAGCCAGCUUCGCAUAUCCAAGUCCAGUCGAAUAUACAUAAGCAUCAUAGCAUACCUUAGCUGCCUUCCCCGGUUAAUGUCAGGCUCUGCGUGUUCGAAAGAAUGGGAGAAUGUAUAAAAAUCGAACUAUAGUAUUGAUUGAAGAAAUUGAGCUCAUGAACCUAACUGAAGACGCCACAGUAACCUUUAGGCACGUCGUACAGUAAUAAAAGUGUACUAUUUAUCUAUACUUUCGGAUAAAGACUAUUGUCACCCUUCCUAUUUUUAACACUCUUUCUGAUUGGAUAUCUACGCGGGGUGCAUAUUUCUAUAGAUCCCGCUUUGCCGGAGUCUAUAAAAGCACGUGCGAGGGGAGAUAACUCAAAUUUUAAUCUCUCUUCAUAACAACAAAGAUGGCGUCCGACACACACAAGCGUUCGAGAUUUGUGAAUCAUUCACAUGAUGAAAUCACCUACAUGCAAUCUAGAACGACAGCAAAUUCAACGAAACAUGCAAAGAGGGUGCUGCUAGGGUGCUAAUUACAAAGAUGGUUGUGUAUUAUCCGAAAUAUUGCAGAAAAGAUGUACGGUAGGGGCUAUUUUGGUAGCAGUCAAAUACACCUCGAACUCACAAAGUGACUUGCAAUUUUGCAGGAAAAUUAUAAUAUCAGAUUGCCAGGGUGACAAAUUCGUUAUCUCUGGAUUAGGAGGAGUCUACUAGCUUAUAGACACAUUUAGUCUUACAGACCCCUCGCCUUUGGACCCAGAGAUAACUAAUAAUAAACCACCCGAGGAUUCAAGGAUACAAGGAACAGGACACCGUGUUUUGUGUUAUGAUGAUAAUGUAUUGUUGUCUGAGGAUUGACCUAGUUAUCUGAAAAUAAAUCUUCUUUGCAACAUUCUUCUCCUUGAAGAACAUCUAACGGAAGUUAGCUACUUAUUGCAGAGCAAAAUUAAUCACUUAUGGUGAUGUUUAGGAUGAAGUAUUGACUAUAAGGAAUAAUGUGUCCGACAAAAAUAGGAUUGUUAGCAGUAAUAUGUUGUAAUAAUAAUAAUUCGAGGUUCUUAUAUAUUGCUUUAUCACAACCGAGUUCGUAGGUAGUCUCAAAGCCGUUCGCAAAUUUUUAUCUGUGGUUAUAUGGCCUUAACAACCAGCCAAUAUCUUUAUCAACUCCCUGGGGAGCAUACAGUCUGUGCUGCCUUUCCGGCGCUCACAUCUAGCAUUCUACACUUCUAGCACUGCCCAACUAUGUACUCAUUUACAGCUGAGUAGACUGGAACAAGCGAAGUAACGUUUCUUGCUCA
Molecule: unclassified non-coding RNA, 4575 nt
Filed under: Mizuhopecten yessoensis (Yesso scallop)
Lineage: Eukaryota; Metazoa; Mollusca; Bivalvia; Pectinida; Pectinidae
Description: uncharacterized LOC110453864, transcript variant X1
Source: RNAcentral